This 460-nucleotide ribosomal RNA is filed under the name uncultured bacterium. RNAcentral's name for it is "bacterial SSU rRNA". It matches the Rfam family "Bacterial small subunit ribosomal RNA", at positions 340 to 791 of the family's 1533-position model. The record is from RNAcentral.
UACGGAAGGCAGCAGUGGGGAAUAUUGCACAAUGGGCGCAAGCCUGAUGCAGCCAUGCCGCGUGUAUGAAGAAGGCCUUCGGGUUGUAAAGUACUUUCAGCGGGGAGGAAGGCGGUGAAGUUAAUAGCUUCACCGAUUGACGUUACCCGCAGAAGAAGCACCGGCUAACUCCGUGCCAGCAGCCGCGGUAAUACGGAGGGUGCAAGCGUUAAUCGGAAUUACUGGGCGUAAAGCGCACGCAGGCGGUCUGUCAAGUCGGAUGUGAAAUCCCCGGGCUUAACCUGGGAACUGCAUUCGAAACUGGCAGGCUAGAGUCUUGUAGAGGGGGUAGAAUUCCAGGUGUAGCGGUGAAAUGCGUAGAGAUCUGGAGGAAUACCGGUGGCGAAGGCGGCCCCUGGGACAAAGCUGACGCUCAGGGUGCGAAAGCGUGGGGAGCGAAACAGGGAUUAGGAUACCCCGU